RNAcentral lists this transfer RNA (20 nucleotides) under Mentha spicata (spearmint). RNAcentral describes it as "partial tRNA-His". The record is from RNAcentral. RNAcentral also lists the same sequence under 7 other names. Lineage: Eukaryota; Viridiplantae; Streptophyta; Magnoliopsida; Lamiales; Lamiaceae.
GCGGAUGUAGCCAAGUGGAU